RNAcentral lists this unclassified non-coding RNA (2480 nucleotides) under Haliotis rubra (blacklip abalone). RNAcentral describes it as "mucin-5AC-like, transcript variant X1". The record is from RNAcentral. Lineage: Eukaryota; Metazoa; Mollusca; Gastropoda; Lepetellida; Haliotidae.
GACUGUUGCUAAAUGUGGCCAACUUACUCUCAAUAUACAGACAUGAAUUUAAGUUCCUCAUUGCAUAUUUGACAUGGAUCCAGUGUUACUACAAUGCAUUUAUAGCUUUUCGAAGUCUGAUACGCUCAUAAUGAAAGGAAAGUCGGGACAUUUACAGUUGUCUAUUCAUCCAACUACCUAUGCACCCUAGUCUACCACUGAGCCACCCGGGGUCAGCUGGUAUUGUCAGACACCACCUAUGCAGGUAGGCUGCAAGCAAUGAAAUGAGUCUACGUGUGUUUCUGGAGUUAAUUCCACUGCUUGUUCUGCUGGAUACUGCUCACAUACGGCCUUGUGAGUCAGCUUCAGUUCUUGCCACCAACAGACGUGUUCCUGUCGAAGGUGUCAGUUUCAGCAUCACCUGUACACUAGAUGCAGCUAUCAGUGGAUCUGCUCUCUUCUACAAGGGUCUUACUUCUAACCAGGAGGCUGCUUAUCAUCAGGCAGGUGUGGGACAUCUGUGUCAGGAUACAAUGUGAGUCUGGACAGUACAUCCAGGAUCCUGACUCUAGACAUCGCGUCAGCAAAUUCCACCAGAGACAGCGGGACAUGGACAUGUACUGAUGGUGCUACAUCAUCUAACAGCAUAACACUGUCACAGUUUGCAGCUGUACUGGACUGGGGCUCUGUGACCUUCUCUCCACUACUGACCUCUCUUCCGUCGUCCGUGACACCACAAAACACCAUCUCCGUCACUGUGACCACGCCGUGUGCUGCCCUGCCGCCGUCAUCACAUGGAGAUACCAACAGGGUUUGAGUGGCGUCCCUCCCAGCAAUACUACUUCCACCCAGGGAUCAUGUCCAUCAGGUCAGGUCCAGACAACCAACACUCUGUCUCUACCAGGGGAACACAGUCAGUCUCUACAACAGGCAGUUGUCUCUCACUGUCAGUGUGGAACAUGACUCCUUUGAUCCUCCCACGUAUACCAAGUCUGUCACUUCAAACACCAUACAGUUCCCUGUUGGACCAGAGCAGGUUGAUGUAACAAUGCCAGAGAACAAUGUAACUUUAGAGAACAUAAAUAUCACUUUGACCUGUGGUACCACCGGUUACCCCAACCUGACCUUCACCUGGGACUACAGUGAUGGAACACCCGUAGGUGGCAGCACAGGACCUGUAGCAGAAUCUUCUACUUGGUGGUCCCAGACUCUUAUCUUCAGGCCAAACAAAGGCAAGACAAGUGUGAGGUGUCAAGUCAGAAACACCAUAACAUCGACAGCUAAGACUGGUUCUGUGUCACUGGAUGUCAAAUAUCCCCACGUGUCCCUCCCUCCAUCACACAGUUUCCGGCUCUGAUGUUUGAAGGAGACCCACAGACAAUCAGCUGCUCGGUGACAGGAGGAAAUCCUCUAGCUACACAAUCACAUGGUCCUGUCCUGGCACUGGAUCAGCAUCGGUCAGUGACAGUGGUCAGACCAGGACAUCUACUCUCUCCUUUACUGUCAGCAGGAGUCAGAAUGGUCAACAGUGUCAGUGUCUGGGGGCGUGGCAGUAUGGUGGAUACAACUACACUGAUGCCAGGACAUUCAACGUCAGCUGUCCCACAAACCGACAACCAAUCAAAGCCGAUUGUAACAUGACAGGUGCAAUAGCAGGAACCGCAAUAGGGGAACCCUACUUCUUACCUUACUGAUUGGAGGACUAGUUCUGGCUGUCCUCUAUAGGAAGGGUUCAGGUUUGGAAACGUCAUGAAAGGUAUGUUGUUAAAUCUCAUUGGCAAGAAGUAGUGUGCCGUGAUGUUAUAUUUCAACGUGAAUUUAAUUGAUCACGAUGGUGGACGUGAAAGUUAUCUGUGAACCUGGUACUGUAUGCACAAACAAUAAAUACAUAUAAAUGCAGUUGAUGCUAAGCAGCAUGUCUGUCAUAACCGUUUCACAUGAUUCAUGGUUCCUUUGCAUCAGUAACCAACAAUUUCCAGAUUGCAUGAGUCAUCAUGUGCGGUGUGUGUUUUUCGUUGAACUAUAUAUGGAUUGUCUUCUUUUCAGAAAAUGCUUCCCCAAAAGGUACACCAGAUUGAUAAAUCGUCCGUUUUGAAAGAAUUGGCUUUAAAAUACUUAAAAUGUAAUUUAUAAUCAGAUAUUAAUAUCAAAUAAAAUAAGUAUGCGUUUCCAUUAUGAGAUCCAUGACAUAUCUCAUUCACUUUUGUAGCACUAGAAGCCCUGAAUUUGAAGAAAAUGAAAACAUAGGAUAUUCCUCCUAGAUCACAUCAACAGUCCAGCUAGGCCCCUCAAGCGUGGAUACAGAGGGUUCGGAAAGACAACAUUACACACAGCUGAAGGUGUAUGAGAAUACAAACGUCGUGGCCAAAUCAGAGACAAGUACCUACGAAAACAUGACAGAGACGCCUCCAGUACCAUACGAGUCCAUCAGCGCAUCUCCAUACCAGAACAGCGGCGCUCAACCUUGAGAUCCUGACUACGGGAAUACGUAAACCAAACAA